GUCGAGAAUCUUUCACAAUGGGGGCAACCCUGAUGGAGCGACGCCGCGUGGAGGAUAAGGUCUUCGGAUUGUAAACUCCUGUCAUGCGUGAACAAGGUUGCUUGGUUAAUACCUGGGCAAAUUGAUGGUAACGCAAGAGGAAGAGACGGCUAACUCUGUGCCAGCAGCCGCGGUAAUACAGAGGUCUCAAGCGUUGUUCGGAAUCACUGGGCGUAAAGGGUGCGUAGGUGGCGUGGUAAGUCAGAUGUGAAAGACCGGGGCUCAACCUCGGAACUGCAUCCGAUACUGCCAUGCUAGAGUACUGGAGAGGUGACUAGAAUUCUCGGUGUAGCAGUGAAAUGCGUAGAUAUCGAGAGGAAUACCAAAGGCGUAGGCAGGUCACUGGACAGUUACUGACACUGAGGCACGAAGGCCAGGGGAGCGAACGGGAUUAGAAACCCCAGUAGUCC
This 449-nucleotide ribosomal RNA is filed under the name uncultured bacterium. RNAcentral's name for it is "partial 16S ribosomal RNA". It matches the Rfam family "Bacterial small subunit ribosomal RNA", at positions 354 to 796 of the family's 1533-position model. The record is from RNAcentral.